ACAGCAGUCGCCGCGGGAAUACGUAGGGUGCAAGCGUUAAUCGGAAUUACUGGGCGUAAAGCGCACGCAGGCGGUUUGUUAAGUCAGAUGUGAAAUCCCCGAGCUUAACUUGGGAACUGCAUUUGAAACUGGCAAGCUAGAGUCUUGUAGAGGGGGGUAGAAUUCCAGGUGUAGCGGUGAAAUGCGUAGAGAUCUGGAGGAAUACCGGUGGCGAAGGCGGCCCCCUGGACAAAGACUGACGCUCAGGUGCGAAAGCGUGGGGAGCAAACAGGAUUAGAUACCCCGGUAGUCCCUGUCUCUUAUAC
Molecule: ribosomal RNA, 305 nt
Filed under: uncultured bacterium
Lineage: Bacteria
Description: partial 16S ribosomal RNA
Rfam family: Bacterial small subunit ribosomal RNA
Source: RNAcentral